UGACCUGUGGUGUAAUGGUAACACGUCUGAUUUUGGUUCAGAAGUCUCCAGGUUCGAGUCCUGGCAGGUCAA
This 72-nucleotide transfer RNA is filed under the name Bacteroidales bacterium. RNAcentral's name for it is "tRNA-Gln". It matches the Rfam family "tRNA". From Rfam's summary of the family: Transfer RNA (tRNA) molecules are approximately 80 nucleotides in length. Their secondary structure includes four short double-helical elements and three loops (D, anti-codon, and T loops). Further hydrogen bonds mediate the characteristic L-shaped molecular structure. tRNAs have two regions of fundamental functional importance: the anti-codon, which is responsible for specific mRNA codon recognition, and the 3' end, to which the tRNAs corresponding amino acid is attached (by aminoacyl-tRNA synthetases). tRNAs cope with the degeneracy of the genetic code in two manners: having more than one tRNA (with a specific anti-codon) for a particular amino acid; and 'wobble' base-pairing, i.e. permitting non-standard base-pairing at the 3rd anti-codon position. The record is from RNAcentral. Lineage: Bacteria; Pseudomonadati; Bacteroidota; Bacteroidia; Bacteroidales.